Molecule: long non-coding RNA, 1736 nt
Filed under: Homo sapiens (human)
Lineage: Eukaryota; Metazoa; Chordata; Mammalia; Primates; Hominidae
Description: non-protein coding lnc-CD99-2:8
Source: RNAcentral
GGAGUCUCAUUCUGUUGCCCAGGCUGGAGUGCAGUGGCAUGAUUUCAGCUCACUGCAACCUCCACCUCCUGGGUUCAAGCGAUUCUCCUGCCUCAGCCUCCCGGGUAGCUGGGACUACAGGCGCAUGCUGCCACGCCCGGCUAAUUUUUUGUAUUUUAGUAGAGACAGGGUUUCACCGUUGUUGCCCAGGCUGGUCUCGAACUCCUGAGCUCAGGCAAUCCGCCUGCCUCAGCCUCCCAAAGUGCUAGGAUUACAGGCGUGAGCCACGGUGCCAGCCUCCGUCAUAGUUUCUAAAACACCCACACCACAACAGUAAUCUUGACUCAACUUCAGCUCCUCAUCCUGUGUCUAAGCCAAGUUUAGCCGAAGAAAACAUCUGCCGAGAAAGUAAAAACAAAAACAUCUGCCAAAGGCAAGAACCCGGUGGGAAGCCCCCUGAGCCCAGUGGCCUGCAGAGUCUGUUCUAGUGACAAAGCAGGCAACUGGAAGAGAUCAGGGCUGCGAGACAGCGUGGGUGGGUUUUUAUCUGCUGCUUCUGUAAAUUCAUUGCAUGAUACGUCUGUUUUUCAGAGGUCCCAAAGCAAAGAAACAAAGCCCCACAGAGUUCACCCAGAGGGAAGGCCUUCACUGGAUCAGGCUAUAAGAGAAGGACUCUCCCCUGAGAAAGAUAAAUACUUAUUUUGGGGCCGUGUUUAGAGAAAAAGGAAGAACGAUGGCUUUCCCAUAGAAACAUUUACUUAUUUUGUGAUUUGAAAAUGGACUUUUAUGUUUUAGGAAUUAUGUGGAUGGGAUGUUUUCUUGGGUGAUCGAUUUGAAAUUGCAGAGGGGAGCAGGUGCCAUGUGCUGGCAAUGGCCGGCCUUCCUUCCUUCCUUCCUUCCUUCCUUCCUUCCUUCCUUCCUUCCUUCCUUCCUCCAUUCCUCCUACCCCCCGUUUCUUCCUUCUUUCUCUCUCUUUCUUUCCUUUUCUCUUUUUCUUUCUUUUUCUUUCUUUUCUUUCUUUCUUUCUCUCUCUCUCUUUCUCUCUCUCUCUCUUUCAUUUUGUUUGUUUUAAUGAGUGAGAGUAAAGAGAAAGAAAAGAACUGUUUUUAUUUUUUGUCUACCUUUAUUGUAAGGAGAGAGUGAGGAUACCAUGCCACACAUGCAGGGUCCUGAGCAGAGGGCUGCACCCUGCUUAGUUCUAAAGACACCUAGACUUUAUCCUGAAAGCCACUGAGAGGCCCAUAUUUUGAAACACUCAGCCUCUCAGAAGAGGAUAGAAUGGGUUGCCAGUGUAAUAGGGAGAGAAAUCGAACAUAGCUGACUCCAUGUUGCUUCUGACUCCUCAAGCUAACUGCUUUUAGGCACUUCUGCACACGGGCCAAGUUAAUCAUGGAAAGAACUUAGAUUACAGUUUAACUGGAAAGCAAGGAUGAUAAGCGUUCCUUUCCAAAACUAACCUCUGAGGAGAUAAGAAGGGCAUGCACACAAGUAACAAUGUUAUAUUGAAGACUUGUAGGAGCGCUGUGACCUGAGCAAGGACAAAGUUUUGCAAUCUCCUUGGGCCCCUGCUGAUGCCCAAGUGUCUGUGGUCACCAGCCACCCCCCUCACCUCAGUCUCCUCCUUGUUCCCCUUCAGUGUACCCCUUCAAUGUACAAAGAAGCUUGAGAUUCAUGCCUUUAAAGAUGGUUCGUUAGGACAUGGGUCCAGUAUCUUCCUGACUUGCUGGCUCUCCAAAUAAAGAUGCUUUUCUUGCUCU